This is a long non-coding RNA of Dermochelys coriacea (leatherback sea turtle), 548 nucleotides long. RefSeq lists it as uncharacterized. The transcript has 3 exons. NCBI's taxonomy places the organism in Eukaryota, Metazoa, Chordata, Testudines, Dermochelyidae. The record is from RefSeq and is a predicted model, not a curated record.
AACUGGCUGUGCUGAGCCAGUGGGUCUUUUUCACAAGGCCACGUGCCUGCUUGGGGUGCUGGGAUUUCUCCCCCUGGCCCCAGGUGUUUACUUUGGGGCUCAUUGUCAGAUGUGCUGAGCUCCCACAGUUCCAGAUAAAGUGAAUAGCAGCUGUGGGUGUUCACCUCCUCUUUAAAAUCUUCCUGCCUGAGUGCCUGGCUCAGGGUUUUAUACUGCUGCCCAUCACUGCAGGAUCUGGAACCUUCCACUUAAAAACAAUAACAAUAGCAAAGUCCCUAAUGGACAUCUCUGGCUCUUCUCUUUUGAGGGUGUCCUUUUAAAAAACACACAGCUCCACUAACUGAACUUCUAACAUCAUGAUAUUUACAAGAUAACUGACAACACUGAAGAAAGAAGUACAUGAGAGAUUCAGCAAUGCACAUUACAGUGAAGAUAUAACAAAGGUGGGAGACAUCUUAAUAUAGAGACCUUCAUUAACCAUUUGAUAUGGAUAGAUACAGAACUCACAGAUGAUGUCUGUGACCGACAACUUAGGACAUUUUGGGUUG